AUGCAAGCUCCGCAUUUAUGCACCAGUCCGUGUUAACACAGCCCUCGUCCACUAGUCUUACCCGGCAACAGAGCAGCCAGCCUGGUAGCUGGAAAGUCC
Long non-coding RNA from Sander lucioperca (pikeperch), 99 nucleotides. RefSeq lists it as uncharacterized. The transcript is spliced from 3 exons. NCBI's taxonomy places the organism in Eukaryota, Metazoa, Chordata, Actinopteri, Perciformes, Percidae. The record is from RefSeq and is a predicted model, not a curated record.